This is a transfer RNA of Felis catus (domestic cat), 72 nucleotides long. It matches the Rfam family "tRNA". From Rfam's summary of the family: Transfer RNA (tRNA) molecules are approximately 80 nucleotides in length. Their secondary structure includes four short double-helical elements and three loops (D, anti-codon, and T loops). The record is from Rfam. Lineage: Eukaryota; Metazoa; Chordata; Mammalia; Carnivora; Felidae.
AGCAGAGUGGCACAGCAGAAGUGUGCUGGGCCCAUAACCCAGAGGUUGAUGGAUCGAAAUCAUCCUCUGCUA